This is a long non-coding RNA of Carassius carassius (crucian carp), 545 nucleotides long. RefSeq lists it as uncharacterized. The record is from RefSeq and is a predicted model, not a curated record. Lineage: Eukaryota; Metazoa; Chordata; Actinopteri; Cypriniformes; Cyprinidae. The transcript has 2 exons.
UUUUAUUGUAUGUUUUAUUGAGCAGAUAAUGACCAUCAGAGAGAAACAGCAGACACAAAGGCACAAGAUGUCCUCUAUGCCUCCAUUGACCACAAUAACAUCAGUCCAAACAGACCUGUUCGAGACGUGGAUGACAAUGAUUGUGAUUAUUCUGUUGUAAUGCUCCCUCAAAACACAAAAGACUCAGCCAAGAACAAAAGCACUGAAGACUGUUCAGAUGAUUAUGUACUCAUGGGCUGAGCACUGAGAUGAUCCUGGCUGAAAUUUGCACAUUCAGCUGGAAUGGACACCUGAGAUACAUAGGCACAUCUUUAACAGCUUGUUACCUUUGUAUAGGUUCCAAUGAUAUUCAGCUUUUUUUUUUAAUUGUAUUUAUUUGUUUUUCUUUUACUUUCUUUUUAAUAAUUAUUUAAUUUCAAGUCUGUUUUUGUUACUUUAUGUUUAUAGCAUGAAGUUAAAUAUGCUAAAGACUUGAUAUUUUGAAGCAUAAUAAGUAAUACAACCUUCAUCUACAUGCACAGUGAAUAAAAGUGGAAUUAAGUCUG